GGUUGUGAGGGCAAUCUGGCUACAACAUCUGUCACCCCAUUGAUCACCAGGAUUAAUUCGGCUGAUCAGGCUGGCUAAGCAGGUGAUUCCUACAUCCCUCACCACUUCAUGUGCAUCCCUCCUGAAGUUGCGCACUUGAUCCAAGAGGACAGCCUUCCCCGAAUAGAGAUGGACUGGUCUUCAGUCGAGGUAUAUGAGUAGCUGCGCUCCCCUGCUAGAAAAUCCCAUUGUUAUAAUUUGCUGUAUCAUACAAGACCUCACCAGAAUUUAUGUCCUUUUAUGCUACUUAUAUAUAUCUGUAUCUUAUA
Molecule: unclassified non-coding RNA, 308 nt
Organism: Erinaceus europaeus (western European hedgehog)
Lineage: Eukaryota; Metazoa; Chordata; Mammalia; Eulipotyphla; Erinaceidae
Gene: 7SK
Rfam family: 7SK RNA
About the family: 7SK was discovered as an abundant small nuclear RNA in the mid-70s but a possible function has only recently been suggested. Two independent studies have found that 7SK RNA binds the CDK9/cyclin T complex (known as elongation factor P-TEFb). P-TEFb activates transcription by phosphorylating the C-terminal domain of RNA polymerase II.
Source: Ensembl